This 492-nucleotide ribosomal RNA is filed under the name uncultured bacterium. RNAcentral's name for it is "partial 16S ribosomal RNA". It matches the Rfam family "Bacterial small subunit ribosomal RNA", at positions 29 to 507 of the family's 1533-position model. The record is from RNAcentral.
AGUGAACGCUGGCGGUAGGCCUAACACAUGCAAGUCGAACGGCAGCACAGUAAGAGCUUGCUCUUACGGGUGGCGAGUGGCGGACGGGUGAGGAAUACAUCGGCAUCUACUUUUUCGUGGGGGAUAACGUAGGGAAACUUACGCUAAUACCGCAUACGACCUACGGGUGAAAGCAGGGGAUCUUCGGACCUUUCGCGAUUGUAUGAGCCGAUGUCGGAUUAGCUAGUUGGCGGGGUAAAGGCCCACCAAGGCGACGAUCCGUAGCUGGUCUGAGAGGAUGAUCAGCCACACUGGAACUGAGACACGGUCCAGACUCCUACGGGAGGCAGCAGUGGGGAAUAUUGGACAAUGGGCGCAAGCCUGAUCCAGCCAUACCGCGUGGGUGAAGAAGGCCUUCGGGUUGUAAAGCCCUUUUGUUGGGAAAGAAAAGCAGCAGGUUAAUACCCCGCUGUUCUGACGGUACCCAAAGAAUAAGCACCGGCUAACUUCGUG